The sequence is a small nucleolar RNA, 109 nucleotides long. It matches the Rfam family "Plant small nucleolar RNA R71". From Rfam's summary of the family: R71 is a member of the C/D box family of snoRNAs containing the C (UGAUGA) and D (CUGA) box motifs. Multiple nearly identical copies of this snoRNA have been identified in Arabidopsis, and it is thought to function as a 2'-O-ribose methylation guide for 18S ribosomal RNA. The record is from Rfam.
AAACCGUGAUGUGGGCAAAUGUUAAGUAGUUCUUUAAACCUAUCCCAACAUUGAUAGAGAGUUUCUCCUGGUUUUUGAGUGAAUGUGGUGAUUUGUCUUUUGAAAGAAU